UGGGGAAUAUUGCACAAUGGGCGCAAGCCUGAUGCAGCGACGCCGCGUGGGGGAUGACGGCCUUCGGGUUGUAAACUCCUUUCGCCAGGGACGAAGCGCAAGUGACGGUACCUGGAGAAGAAGCACCGGCCAACUACGUGCCAGCAGCCGCGGUAAUACGUAGGGUGCGAGCGUUGUCCGGAAUUACUGGGCGUAAAGAGCUCGUAGGCGGUUUGUCACGUCGUCUGUGAAAUCCUGCAACUCAAUUGUAGGCGUGCAGGCGAUACGGGCAGACUUGAGUACUACAGGGGAGACUGGAAUUCCUGGUGUAGCGGUGAAAUGCGCAGAUAUCAGGAGGAACACCGGUGGCGAAGGCGGGUCUCUGGGUAGUAACUGACGCUGAGGAGCGAAAGCGUGGGGAGCGAACAGG
This 409-nucleotide ribosomal RNA is filed under the name uncultured Gordonia sp. RNAcentral describes it as "bacterial SSU rRNA". It matches the Rfam family "Bacterial small subunit ribosomal RNA", at positions 355 to 776 of the family's 1533-position model. Lineage: Bacteria; Bacillati; Actinomycetota; Actinomycetes; Mycobacteriales; Gordoniaceae. The record is from RNAcentral.